Molecule: long non-coding RNA, 416 nt
Organism: Vigna unguiculata (cowpea)
Lineage: Eukaryota; Viridiplantae; Streptophyta; Magnoliopsida; Fabales; Fabaceae
Source: RefSeq, a predicted model, not a curated record
UGCUCUUGUAAGUGGGCCUAAGGGUUGGCCCAAUGUAUAUAGACCCUUAGUGUUGCCCUAAUCCCAUCUCACACUCACACUUUCAGAAAACCAGCCGUCAACCCUUUCUCCCUCUCACGAAAAGCUCUACUAGGGUUAGGUUGUGCCAUCUUCAAGCUAGCUCGAAGCUAUUCCCUACUCCAUCCCUGUAGCGCAUCCUUGGAGCUGCCGAGCUCGUGGCCACGUAGUAGAGGUCUUCGCUAAGCUUUUCCAGAUGGGCGAAGUUCUCGUGGUCAGCAGGGAAACGGUGAUCCAGCAGCUUAGCCAUCUGGGCUAGACCUCACGCUUCUUCUUUUCAUGUUUUCCUUAGGGCUAUGGCCCCUGUAUUCGUAGUUGUUAGAUUGUAAACUCUUAAGUAAACGAUUAUCCUGUUUUUA